CGUGGUUAUAUUCUUAAGCUAGCCAACAAAUUUUAUUUAAACAAUUAUGUAGCUUAAGAGUGAUACCAAUAUUGUCAAUAGUGUCUAAUCAUCUUCUGUAGAAGUGAUUUUUAUUUCAGGGGCCUAUCAGAAUUACCUUAGAGGUGUGUCAGUCCUGUCUCUCUCACCACUUGACAGAACCUUUUUCUCAAAUUCUGGUAAUAUCCCUCAAGGAGAGCAGAUCACCCACUCCCUGUUUGAGAAUCACAAGCGAAGAAAGGUUGAGAUUCUCUGCUUUGUGAGGAAAUAUAGUGUGAAUUCUGGUGCAGCAUGUGGCAUUUCAUCUGUCUGCUCCCAAGCUUUUCUUUAAUCCUGCACAUACUGCCUGGGAGAGGGUCUCUUCCCCGCAGGCUAGGACAGAGGUGGAUUGGGGUCAAGUUUGAGAUGUGGACCUUUGGAGCUGAAGACUCCAAUGGGAUUUUCCUGUCUCUGAGGUGGCUUUAAGGGAAACAAGCUCUUUGAAGAGGUGCCCCUUUGCUGCUACUGGCCUAAGCAGUCCUUGUAGCUGUGGAGAUCUAGGGGUGGGCCUGUGAAGGGAAGCAAAGAGGAUUGCCUCAUAUCUUCUGUAGCUACUGAAGUUCCAGGUUGGUAAUCAAGUCACAGAUGCUGGCAGUGGGCACCAAAGAAAAGUAGAAACACAAAUGAAAAUGACUCAUGGGAACCAUAGCUCUGGCAAUCAACAUAUUUUUUGGGGGCCUACUGUGUGCCAAGCAUGCUGCACUUGGCCUUUCAUUUUAUGAAUGGUUCAUAAAUUAGAUGAUGGAGUAUAACGAGACUGCCUUUGCUACAUGCGUCAGAAUACUAGUUGAGCUGUUUGAGGACAGAGGCUGUAUUACUUAUUCCGAGGGCCCAUCAUAAUGCCUGGCAAGGAUAUUCUUGCUAUGUCUGAUAUACAUUGCAUACAUUAAAUUGUUGAAUCCUUCCCACAACCCUUCAAGGAGGCUUAAUUUAGUGAUUAAACAUACAUAGUCUUUAAAUCAGACAGCAAGUGAUCAAAUCUUGAUUUUCCUGGAAUAUGUACCCUUUUUUCUGAUGAAAUGACAGCUCUCCAAGAUAAUAAGACUUAAUUCUGCUACAACAUGCUAAGAAUUGGGAAAAUAAGUAUUUUAGUCACAGUAGCCAAUAGAUAGAUAUAAGCCAGUCUAACUGCUUAGGGUUAUAAUCAAGUUAGUUUAUUUCCUGAAGUCUAUUAUGGGUCAGAAUUUAAAAUUAGCUCUCAUUAGAUGAGGAGCCACUUGAGCGGGAAAGCGGGACAAUGUGGUCUUGGCUAACUCACAUUGCCAAUUAGCUGCUUCGGUUCUGAUUCUGUUUUGUUUUAGCGUCAGCUCAAGGUGAGAUUUUCGUUUAAUCCUGAGUUGUGCACUGAAAUUUCUAAUAGAGAGCUCAGGUGGGUCAGAACAUAGCUUCUUAUCUUUCUUUUUUUUAUGUCUAGAAGUUAUAGCAUUAACCUCAAGUGAGGAAAAAUGAUGAAAUAUCCCAAAACUUUUUGGGGUACCAGGCUGCUAAGGUUCAUGUUGUUAUUUGUUAAUCAGAAAAAAUUCAGUUUUCAUGUGAGCUUUUCUAUUUUGGACCUAAAAUUGAUGAAAGGAACGUUGCAUUAGGCAGUCAGCUUCAUUUUGUCUCACUAAGAGGAUUGUUAAACAUUUUUGUUUUGGUUGGCCAUUUGGUUGUAAUGCAAUUAGUGGGAAAUGUAAAUUUAUGAAUUUUGGAUGAAACAUCUUAAUAUUAGGAAAAUAUUUCUUCUAUAUUGGUUUUCUUAUAUUCUUUAGUUGGAAGUUGAAUAUAUUCAGGGUGAAACAGGGAAAGGUGAGCAGGAGGUCCUAUAUCUUUCUUGCUAUACCACAUGCCUUUCCACAUAAUGAUAAAUAUGUUAUUUGAAGAGCUUUUAAUAAAAUGAGAUCAUGUUAUGUAAAUGUUAAGGGAAAGGAUGACCGUGAAAAAAUAAGUUGAUAAAAUAAAGGACUUAUUGAUGAAUAAGGAGAGAAGAAAUGGGAAUAGGAUCAUUCAGAUUCAAUCUGAAUAGUUCUAUGUGUAUUUUUUAUUUUGUCUUUUAACGGUAGAUGUGAGUAAUCUUUAAAUCAUAGGGCAGAGAAGGGAGAGAAAGGGAGAUUUGGGGAUUGCGCACUGGAUGGCCCUUAAGGAGCCCAGGGUCUGGAGACCCUUUGUUCUUAACCUUGGCAUUGCAUACUAUAAUAAGUUGCCCGGAGUGCUGACUCAGGCUAGCGAUGUGUUCUCUAUCUUUUAAAUAAUUCUUAAAAGUUUUGCCUUUUCUAAACUUUUAUUUUAUUUGUUAAUUUAAAUUUAAUAUUAUUCACUUAUUUCCCUUUGUGUUUUUUUCACCUCUGUUGUGACUCCAAGAACUAUUCUUGUUUGUUCUGCUCCUUUGGACAGUGAGGUGCUUGAGAGCUUAGUCCCCAGAUAGGCCUUUCUUUACUGGAUUUUUUUUUUCACAUUAUAAAAUGUAUAUUGUGUUAAUUUUGAACAAAUUAUCUUUGGAAGGAUAGCAUCUUUUUCAGGGUUAUCAGUCUGUGACAUGUACACCAAACAGAGGCGCAGAAGAAGCCUCACCUUCGAGGUCAGGUAAAUAGUGGUGUGUCCAGGUUUUGCUAUUUGCUAUUCAUUUUUUGUGUGAACUUAACCUUCUUAUGCCCCCAUCUGUAAAAUGGUGGUAGUGCCAGGUUGGCAUGAGGAUUUAAACGAGAGAGUCUAUCUAAGCAUAAAGCAUGGGAUUUGGCAUAUCGUUAGGCGCUCUUUAAAUGAUAGCUUAUGGUGUGGAAGGGUGGAUUGACUUGGAUGGUGUCAUACAAAAUUGUGAAGUGAGUGUAAGUUACUUUUGGUGUCUGUCUACUUCCCUUAUCUGUAUCUCCUUUUAUUACAUCAAGUACCUUUCCUUUUAGUUUAUUUGUUUUAGAAAAAGAUACAGUUUGGGGUUCAGAAUCUUUUUGAGGAGAUAGAUAGAUGUGUUGCCUCUCAACCUUAGAGUCCUGCCAGGUCACUGAAGAAUGGUUUACCUGCGGUAAUCCUGUUAACUGUGCCCUCCUUUCCCCCUGCCUACCCCUCCGCAGAUUGUUAAAGGUUGAUUUGGGUACCUUGAGUCCUUUUUAAAUUUCCUUUUCUUUUUCUCCCACACAUUCUUCUCACAGAGAGGGAGCAUGAACACUCAUCAUAAUUCUGAAAGGUUGGCAGCUUUUGGACCUCAGAGUUAAUUUUACUUUGAGUCACACUUAGAGGGCAUCUUCCAAAUCUUCUGGUUCAUUUCCCUCAUUUAAAAGUAGUGGAAACUACUUUUAUAUACUGUCCUUAAACUGAUUGUUCUGUUAAGAAUGUUUUCAUUUUGAUUCAUCCUUCUUCAGAGUACUUUUAGGAAUAAAGUGCAGUUGACACUCAGAUUAUUUACCUUGCAAAUCAUGGUUUCUAGGUAAAUUAUUGGUGUUAGGAGCAUUUAUGUUUUAUUCUUCAGUGUAAUUUAAACUGCAGAACUAGAUAAGAGCUGGUUGUUAUUGGAGAUACCUGUGUCUUCACUUAGCUAAAUUUUACCUGGAGAAUUGUUCCAAAAUGUAAAUUGAUGACACCCUUCUGUCAUUUACAGCAUUUAUUUCCACCUCUUCUACCUAUGACACUAGGCCCUCCCUCUUUAUAUUAGAGGGUUUUAUAUAACUACUUGUUGUUACUCAUCAUGUGCAGUUUGCUGUCUAGAAAUUCAUAGGACAACAAUAUGAGAAAUGGUACCUAAGAUUUAAGUACUGAUUUAGCUUUUGCUUGUCUCAGGGAAUGGGGUGUGGGACAGAGAAAGAAGGAAGUACUUUAUUUUCUGAAGCACAUUAACAGUUAUCAUUAGAAGAUUCCCUUCAAUCACUUACUUGGGCCCGGAAUUAGAGCGUGAGCCAUGACUGAGAGACUGUGUUUAGGAGGAGUAAUUUAAGGGGAUGAAUGAUUUUUAGGAGAUGAUUGAAGUCAGGAGAAGUCCAUAUAAUGUGGUUUCCUUACAGAGGAUUCAUCUAAUUGGCAAUUUAUGGUGGAAAUAUAUGCUUCAAUAUUGAUCAGCUAUUUAUUCCUUAAUAUUUGUAAUAGGAUAUUUAGUCUAUAUAUUUUUUCUUUUUUAAAUUUUAUUUUUUUGACACGUAAAUGCAUUUGGAGAGGAAGAGGCCCUGAAUGCCACUGUCGAACACCCUACUUGGUGACUGCGUGGGAGACACCAAGCUAUCACUGAUUUUAUCACCAUUCCAUCAUGACUUUGGAAAGCUUAAUUUGCUCAUGACAUAGAUAUCCUUUGCCCACAUGGUAAAGUCAGUGACUUCAUGACUCCACCAAAUCAAUCACACUAUUCUUUAUUUUCUGAUUUGGUGGCGAGAAGAAAAUGUAAAUCCUCAAGUUAAUAACACAGUGAUAUCUUUUAGACAGUAGGGAAAAAGAAAAAACCAACUCUAUUUUCUCUCUGUUUUGGACCAGAGAAAAACUUUGAUUUUGCAAAGUUAUUUUGUAAUUUAACAUCUGUGGGCUCAGAUGAAAUAGGGGAAUUUUUUUUUUUUUUUUUUUUUUUUUUUUGAGUUUGAGUUUGACAUUU
Molecule: long non-coding RNA, 4603 nt
Organism: Sapajus apella (tufted capuchin)
Lineage: Eukaryota; Metazoa; Chordata; Mammalia; Primates; Cebidae
Exons: 3
Source: RefSeq, a predicted model, not a curated record